ACAGAGCGUGUGGCGAAAGAACGGAGAAGUGAAAGCGUACACCAGGCAUUAAAGCUCUGCUCCAACUGCAAUGAAAUGCAGGGUCUUCCAUAAAAAAAUGUAWCCUGAGCAAAGCAGAUGGGUUAAGACCCAGACAUGCACACAGCAAUGUCUAUGAAGACUCUUCCUGGAGGAACGCAUAGCUGACUGGAUGGUGACAGCUCAAAUGCUAAAUUCGACACGACAUAACRCCCCAUCUGGGAUGAAAUGCCUCCUUCCAGCCCCAGAGUGAGGGGACAAGAUUGCCGCUGGCUGCUACCCAGUCCCAGCUACAACAACGUGUCUCAAGGAACCAGUGAGCUGCUGCUUACAGCUACAAACAUGAGCUUYCCAUUAGGAUAUGUGGUACCACAGAAAGCUGUCGUGGU
This 407-nucleotide long non-coding RNA is filed under the name Dromaius novaehollandiae (emu). Its description in RNAcentral is "lncRNA (ENSDNVG00000010122.1)". Lineage: Eukaryota; Metazoa; Chordata; Aves; Casuariiformes; Dromaiidae. The record is from RNAcentral.